RNAcentral lists this ribosomal RNA (460 nucleotides) under uncultured bacterium. RNAcentral describes it as "partial 16S ribosomal RNA". It matches the Rfam family "Bacterial small subunit ribosomal RNA", at positions 338 to 795 of the family's 1533-position model. The record is from RNAcentral.
CCUACGGGUGGCUGCAGUGAGGAAUAUUGGUCAAUGGCCGCAUGGCUGAACCAGCCAAGUCGCGUGAGGGAUGACGGUCCUAUGUAUUGUAAACCUCUUUUGUCAGGGAGCAAAGGGCGCCACGUGUCGCCUUUUGCGAGUACCUGAAGAAAAAGCAUCGGCUAACUCCGUGCCAGCAGCCGCGGUAAUACGGAAGGUCCGGGCGUUAUCCGGAUUUAUUGGGUUUAAAGGGAGCGUAGGCCGCAUGUCAAGCGUGCUGUGAACUGUCCGGGCUCAACCCGGGCCUUGCAGCGCGAACUGGCGUGCUUGAGUCCGCGGAAAGCAGGCGGAAUUCGUCGGGUAGCGGUGAAAUGCUUAGAUAUGACGAAGAACCCCGAUUGCGAAGGCAGCUUGCUGCAGCGGAACUGACGCUGAUGCUCGAAAGCGCGGGUAUCGAACAGGAUUAGAUACCCGGGUAGUC